CGCUGUUAUCCCUAAGGUAAUUUAGUCUUAUAAUCAUUAAAAAUGGAUCAAAAACUUAUAAAUAAAUAUAAAAAAAAAUAAAAAGAGUUAUAUUAAUCUUCCCAUCACCCCAACAAAAUUUAAAUAAUAUUAAAAUUAUUACCCCACAAAAAAUAAAAAAUUAAAUUAAACUCUAUAGGGUCUUCUCGUCCCAAAAAAUUAUUUAGGCAUUUUAACCUAAAAUUUAAAUUCAACAAAAUAAAAAUUUAAGAAAGUAUAUACCUCGUCAAACCAUUCAUUCCAGCAUUCAAUUAAAAAACUAAUGAUUAUGCUACCUUUGCACAGUCAAAAUACUGCGGCCAUUUAAAAAUCAGUGGGCAGGCAAUACUUCAAAUAAAUUACAAGAAGAGAUGUUUUUGUUAAACAGGCG
This 409-nucleotide ribosomal RNA is filed under the name Cryptocercus darwini. RNAcentral's name for it is "partial 16S ribosomal RNA". Lineage: Eukaryota; Metazoa; Arthropoda; Insecta; Blattodea; Cryptocercidae. The record is from RNAcentral.